AACGCGAAGAACCUUACCUGGUCUUGACAUCCACGGAAGUUUUCAGAGAUGAGAAUGUGCCUUCGGGAACCGUGAGACAGGUGCUGCAUGGCUGUCGUCAGCUCGUGUUGUGAAAUGUUGGGUUAAGUCCCGCAACGAGCGCAACCCUUAUCCUUUGUUGUCAGCGGUCCGGCCGGGAGCUCAAAGGAGACUGCCAGUGAUAAACUGGAGGAAGGUGGGGAUGACGUCAAGUCAUCAUGGCCCUUACGACCAGUGCUACACACGUGCUACAAUGGCGCAUACAAAGAGAAGCGACCUCGCGAGAGCAAGCGGACCUCAUAAAGUGCGUCGUAGUCCGGAUUGGAGUCUGCAACUCGACUCCAUGAAGUCGGAAUCGCUAGUAAUCGUGGAUCAGAAUGCCACGGUGAAUACGUUCCCGGGUCUUGUACACACGC
Molecule: ribosomal RNA, 434 nt
Filed under: uncultured Escherichia sp.
Lineage: Bacteria; Pseudomonadati; Pseudomonadota; Gammaproteobacteria; Enterobacterales; Enterobacteriaceae
Description: bacterial SSU rRNA
Rfam family: Bacterial small subunit ribosomal RNA
Source: RNAcentral